This 492-nucleotide ribosomal RNA is filed under the name uncultured bacterium. RNAcentral describes it as "partial 16S ribosomal RNA". It matches the Rfam family "Bacterial small subunit ribosomal RNA", at positions 29 to 507 of the family's 1533-position model. The record is from RNAcentral.
AGUGAACGCUGGCGGUAGGCCUAACACAUGCAAGUCGAACGGCAGCACAGUAAGAGCUUGCUCUUACGGGUGGCGAGUGGCGGACGGGUGAGGAAUACAUCGGAAUCUACUUUUUCGUGGGGGAUAACGUAGGGAAACUUACGCUAAUACCGCAUACGACCUACGGGUGAAAGCAGGGGAUCUUCGGACCUUGCGCGAUUGAAUGAGCCGAUGUCGGAUUAGCUAGUUGGCGGGGUAAAGGCCCACCAAGGGGACGAUCCGUAGCUGGUCUGAGAGGAUGAUCAGCCACACUGGAACGGAGACACGGUCCAGACUCCUACGGGAGGCAGCAGUGGGGAAUAUUGGACAAUGGGCGCAAGCCUGAUCCAGCCAUACCGCGUGGGUGAAGAAGGCCUUCGGGUUGUAAAGCCCUUUUGUUGGGAAAGAAAAGCAGCAGGUUAAUACCCCGCUGUUCUGACGGUACCCAAAGAAUAAGCACCGGCUAACUUCGUG